UACGUAGGGUGCAAGCGUUGUCCGGAAUUAUUGGGCGUAAAGAGCUCGUAGGCGGUCUGUCGCGUCGGAUGUGAAAACCCAGGGCUCAACCCUGGGCCUGCAUUCGAUACGGGCAGACUAGAGUUCGGUAGGGGAGACUGGAAUUCCUGGUGUAGCGGUGAAAUGCGCAGAUAUCAGGAGGAACACCGGUGGCGAAGGCGGGUCUCUGGGCCGAAACUGACGCUGAGGAGCGAAAGCGUGGGGAGCGAACAGG
This 253-nucleotide ribosomal RNA is filed under the name uncultured bacterium. Its description in RNAcentral is "partial 16S ribosomal RNA". It matches the Rfam family "Bacterial small subunit ribosomal RNA", at positions 524 to 776 of the family's 1533-position model. The record is from RNAcentral.